This 1531-nucleotide long non-coding RNA is filed under the name Homo sapiens (human). Its description in RNAcentral is "non-protein coding lnc-TMEM135-5:1". Lineage: Eukaryota; Metazoa; Chordata; Mammalia; Primates; Hominidae. The record is from RNAcentral.
UACUGCAGGAAAUUGGCUCCUACUACUAUCCCAGCAGCUAUUGAAGCCAGUUUGGCUUCAGGUCCUAGACAAAUGAUUUGUCAUCUGUUUCAUUUGUUUGUUUUUUUUCCUGACAGAGCUGGAAUUCUGGAUUGUUCCCCACUUUAAAAACUUCAAAAUCCAAACCAGAAGUAGACAGGACAGGACACGAGGCUCCCCCUUCCCACUUAGUUUCACAGAGUGAAAAAUCACAGGCAGUUUUCCCAGAAUUAUAUUUUAUGUCUGGCCUUUGAAUAGCAUAUUAAGGUAAAAAAAAAUUGUUGCUGUUGUUUUUCUAUAACAGAUAGGGCCUUAGAUAUUUGAGAGAGGAAAAGGAUUGGAAUCACUCUUAUCAAUAUAGGUAGGGCUCUAACAAAUAGCUUCUGAUACUCAUUUUUAGAGGAAAGAGAAGGACACUAAAAUUUAAGAGGUGUGCCUCUGAUAUGUGGUAAAUUGUUUAUAUCUCACUCAAUCCUCACACCUUAUCAGGUAGGUAUUAUUAGUUCUGUUUUAUCAGCUAGGGAACUGGGAAUCAAAAAGUGUGGUAAUUUACCCAAGGUAACAAUACUGGAAUUUGAACUCAGAUCUCCAAGAGUUGAAAUUUUAAGUAGCAUCGUUACUCACUCCCCUUAAAAUUAAUCAUUUAUCACUGAAAUAAAAACCCUUGCCUCCCAAAGUGGUUGAUGUUUACUUUCAGCUUAACUAAAAGAAUAGGAACAAGAUUUACCUUUUCAUCUGAAACAACUAAAAGACCUGACAAUACUGUAUGUAAUAAAACAAUAGUUUUCAGACACUAGUCAUGAAGCAGUGAAUGGCAACAAUCCUGAAAGAAGGAACACAAAUGAGUUGUGUUUUAUGAUUCCCCUAGCUGAUAUCUGGAGAGAGAUUCCAGAUUGCAGCCUAAGGAAAGAGAACUAAGAGAGAAACCAGAGAUUUCUCUGAGUUGAGGGAACAGAGGUGGGAGUCCAGAGAGGCUAAAGUCGAUGAAGUUCAUAAGGCAGAGUACAAAAGAGGAGAGAGCUGCACAGAAAAAAGGCUUGCAGAUCUCAAGAGCGUCCCCCUUGAGACAUAAGCUGAGUACUUCGGCAUGCAUGGGAAAAUUACCAAGGUUGGAGAAAGAACCACCCGAAAGGAGCAGAGGGAGCAAUCAUUGGAGUUCACGCAAGGAAGCGAGUAGUUUGUGUUCCUGCUAGCCAGAGUAGCACAAUUCAUUUUACAAAGGGUGCUGGAUAGAGUAGUCAGGAAAAUAGAGCCUCAUAGGGGAGCAAAAUUAACCCUAGACUAAAGGCUGGUCUCAUCUUACCUAUUGAAGCUUAAAAGCCUCAGUUUCCGGCUGGGCACAGUGGCUCAUGCCUGUAAUCCCAGCACUUUGGGAGGCUGAGGCAGGAGAUGGAGACCAUCCUGGCUAACAUGGUGAAACCCCGUCUCUACUAAAAAUACAAAAAAUUGGCCGGGCGUGGUGGCUAGGUGCCUGUAGUCCCAGCUACUCAGGAGGCUGAGGCUGAGGCAGGAG